This 112-nucleotide ribosomal RNA is filed under the name Pteropus alecto (black flying fox). Lineage: Eukaryota; Metazoa; Chordata; Mammalia; Chiroptera; Pteropodidae. The record is from RNAcentral.
CCUAAUGCCUCCCUGAACAAGCCCGAUUCCGUCUGAUCUCAGAAGCUAAGCAGGGUCGGGCCUGGUUAGUACUUGGAUGGGAGACCACCUAAGAAGACCAGGUGCUGUAGGU